GUAGUCCACGCUGUAAACGAUGAAUGUUAAAUAUGGGGAGUUUACUUUCUGUAUUACAGCUAACGCGUUAAACAUUCCGCCUGGGGACUACGGUCGCAAGAUUAAAACUCAAAGGAAUUGACGGGGACCCGCACAAGCGGUGGAGCAUGUGGUUUAAUUCGAUGCAACGCGAAAAACCUUACCACUUCUUGACAUGAAAAUCAUACCUAUUCGAAGGGAUAGGGUCGGUUCGGCCGGAUUUUACACAAGUGUUGCAUGGCUGUCGUCAGCUCGUGUCGUGAGAUGUUGGGUUAAGUCCCGCAACGAGCGCAACCCUCAUCCUUAGUUGCCAUCAGGUAAUGCUGAGUACUUUAAGGAAACUGCCAGUGAUAAGCUGGAG
Molecule: ribosomal RNA, 379 nt
Filed under: uncultured bacterium
Lineage: Bacteria
Description: bacterial SSU rRNA
Rfam family: Bacterial small subunit ribosomal RNA
Source: RNAcentral